RNAcentral lists this long non-coding RNA (2242 nucleotides) under Zea mays. RNAcentral's name for it is "long non-coding RNA (ZMAY_LNC004502)". Lineage: Eukaryota; Viridiplantae; Streptophyta; Magnoliopsida; Poales; Poaceae. The record is from RNAcentral.
UGAACCACCUGUUCUUCUCCUGUGGGGGGUGUGAGACAGCAAGGGUGAGCUCACACAUGAUCAUAGCUCAACAAGUUGUGGGGAACCAGUGGACAUAAACUCACAAAGGUGUGAGUUCAUGUGAUGUGUAAGGCUAAUCAAUGAUAGGGGUUAAAGCUGAGCAUUGCUUUUAAGUAGUUGGUCAAAAUUUUAUUAGCAGUUACUAAGUGUAAGUAAAUACCAAACCAUAAGUAAAGUAAUAGAACAAAAUUAAUAACAACCCAUGCAAUGCAAAUGACAAAAUUGAAUUUAAGUUCCAUAAUUUAAUCAUGUGAGUGUCCGAGCCGCUCAUGACCGUGAGCACGGCUAGUAUACCAGUUUUACACUCUACAGAGGUUGCGCAUCUUUACCCACAAGUCGUGUUACCCAUUUGCCACGGAGUUGAUCAGACCCCAUACACCUCUACCAACGAAGCGAGGCAGGGUACCACUACGAGGCCUUUACAAAGUUCCACUAGCUUCAGACUACCCACUACAGUUUAUAGGAAGGUCCAGUGCAGGAAUCCCUCGCCCGACCGCCAUCGCAACAAAAUCAACCCAAGGACCUCCCUACACUGACCACUCCCCUACUGCCCUUGCCCCUUUCGGGUAAGGUAGCCCUCCACUAGCUUUCCUAGUUAAUCAGCCAAGGGCGUCCCAUUAAACCCUUGUGGUAGCACUAUUUUCCCGGGUGGUUCUCCAUGUUCCCAUUAACAUAAUGAUCUUAUCAUGAACAUAAAAUAAUGAACAGAUAACAAAAAGUGUAAUCAUGAGUGAUAAAUAGCUCUAUACCCAAAUCCACAUAAAGCAAUAGCAUGUACUACCCAAAACUUUAGUAGUAAAACCAGUGGUGAAACAAGGUAUAAAGAUAGUCAAAUCUAAGGUAUCCUAUUGGGUCCCAUCAAAAUUAACCUAUGCAGAUCAUUAUGAAUAAUGAGAACAUGAAUGGGUAAAAGAAGUGAUCAAGGGCACAACUUGCCUUCAACGAGCUCCUACUUAGCAGUCUCUACCAGCUAAACCUCAGAUUCCACAGUGGCUUGCUCGUCUACUCGCAUCAACACAAUACAUACAUAGCAUAGCAUAAAUUAACAUCACAUCAAACAUGCAAAUAGAAUAUACAGUAAUAAACUAGACAUUAAAAUAAGAUCACAGGAACUGGAAUCAUUAAAUUUGGAGGUAUAGAUUUUAAGUUAUGGAUUUUCUAAUGUUUUAUGUGCUUAAUACAAGGUUAAGUGCUAGAUAAAUUUUAAAUCAUCUUUCAUGUUAAAACAGAGACACUAAUGGUUAGACAAUAAUAUUAUAAAAAUUUAGGAACUGGAAUGGACCAAAUUGGAGUUCAUAUGAAUUUUCUACAAUUUAAACAAGUUCUAGCAUUUAUUUAUGCAUUAAAAACUAAUUUCUGUUUUAUUUUCUAUGGUUUUACUGUUGUCUGGACUGGGCACAAUAAUACCGGAAAGAGCAGGGACGACCCCGCAAGAAUCCCGAGACACCGCCCACAGUGCGUGGGACGGCGGGUUGAUACCUAAAUAUUUUGGGGGCCUAUAUGCAAGUCUACACUAGCGAAGGGGUAUCACGAGGUGUCGGCCGCUCGAUCCACUACAGACGGCACAGAUUAGAAGUUUUCAAUAGUAAAUCGGUAUGAAGCUACGAUCGUCUGAUAUUAAUCCGAGGGUCAAGAUUUUAUGAAGUGAGAUUAAACCACACCCGCACGAUCGAUUAUCAACGCUCAAGAUCAUUUCUCCCUGAACCGGUAACCUAGGUCUAAUCAAGGCCAUCGAAUCCGGAUCCGACGGCACACAGCCCCGUUCCGACUACGGACGAGCAUGGUGGCGGCGACGCCCAGCGCGCACGGCAAAGGCUCGCCGGAGAAAUCCAAACGCGCUCUCGGGUUGUCCAUUACCCAUCCUGACUAGUGCAAAACGAAGCCAAUAGAACCACAAGGGUAUACACGGUGAUUUUACCGUCGAUUAGGCUCCGAGGAAGUUCGUCCUCGCUGCGCGGUGGCUCGGCCGUGAGAGCCGAAGUCCGGCGGGCGAUUUCACCCACACCAGACGAUGUCUGCGCCCGAUGAACCGCGUCUGCCCGAUCCUUGCACGAUGGUGAGCCCUCACGACCCUUCUCCGACCACCGACCGUCAGCGGAGGUGGGGAGUCGAGUGCGGCGGCCGCCAGAGUUCUCUCCUCUCUCGCUUCUCUCCGAUCUGGUUACGAGGCGCCGAGGUGGAU